AAUAUUGCACAAUGGGGGAAACCCUGAUGCAGCCAUGCCGCGUGUGUGAAGAAGGCCUUCGGGUUGUAAAGCACUUUCAGUAGGGAGGAAGGUAGUGUAGUUAACACCUGCAUUAUUUGACGUUACCUACAGAAGAAGCACCGGCUAACUCCGUGCCAGCAGCCGCGGUAAUACGGAGGGUGCGAGCGUUAAUCGGAAUUACUGGGCGUAAAGCGCAUGCAGGCGGCCUGUUAAGUCAGAUGUGAAAGCCCGGGGCUUAACCUCGGAAUUGCAUUUGAAACUGGCAGGCUAGAGUCUUGUAGAGGGGGGUAGGAAUUUCAGGUGUAGCGGUGAAAUGCGUAGAGAUCUGAAGGAAUACCAGUGGCGAAGGCGGCCCCCUGGACAAAGACUGACGCUCAGAUGCGAAAGCGUGGGGAGCAAACAGGAUUAGAUACCCUGGUAG
This 442-nucleotide ribosomal RNA is filed under the name uncultured bacterium. RNAcentral describes it as "bacterial SSU rRNA". It matches the Rfam family "Bacterial small subunit ribosomal RNA", at positions 360 to 793 of the family's 1533-position model. The record is from RNAcentral.